RNAcentral lists this ribosomal RNA (253 nucleotides) under uncultured bacterium. RNAcentral's name for it is "partial 16S ribosomal RNA". It matches the Rfam family "Bacterial small subunit ribosomal RNA", at positions 524 to 776 of the family's 1533-position model. The record is from RNAcentral.
UACGUAGGGUGCGAGCGUUGUCCGGAAUUAUUGGGCGUAAAGAGCGCGCAGGCGGCUUGGUAAGUCGGAUGUGAAAUCCCGAGGCUCAACCUCGGGUCUGCAUCCGAUACUGCCCGGCUAGAGGUAGGUAGGGGAGAUCGGAAUUCCUGGUGUAGCGGUGAAAUGCGCAGAUAUCAGGAGGAACACCGGUGGCGAAGGCGGAUCUCUGGGCCUUACCUGACGCUCAGGCGCGAAAGCUAGGGGAGCGAACUGG